UGGGGGGGGGGGGGGGGGGGGAAGUUGGGGGGUUGGUGAAAAAAAAACCAUUAAUUUUAUUGUAAUUUUUUAACACACCCCCCCCCCCCGUCCCCCCCCCCCCGCCGUGCUCUNNNNN
Molecule: microRNA precursor, 118 nt
Filed under: Drosophila guanche
Lineage: Eukaryota; Metazoa; Arthropoda; Insecta; Diptera; Drosophilidae
Source: RNAcentral